CGUAUUUUUCCAUAGGCCUUGGGAAGAAGGGUCCCAGGUGCGUGAAGAAAGAUAGACUGUUUGCGGGUUCCAAGCAUGGUGGGGCAGGGAGAAUUAUGGUCUCCGAGCCUCUGAGAGUUUGGUGUGGGUCUCUCCAGCAAAUAGUAACAAAAUGUUCCCUUCUUUUUAGGUUAUUUGGGUUGGUUUUUUUUUUUUUUAACCAACAGCAUAUAUUAAUGAAAAAACUAUUAAAAUCCUAUUUUAAUGUAGAAUCAAGACUCCUGCCUAUUUUUCAUAUAACCACACUUCAAGCUGUGGUCAAGAGCUCUCUUUCUCUGUGUCCUGUUAUAAUCACACUCCCAUGUUUUCUCCUAUAGAUCAUGCUUCUCCCUCGAGCCAAUAGCUUCAAGAGAGCAUGCUUUAAAGUACAAACAUUGGAGCAGAGUUCUGAGUGUGAAUUGUGUAGCUUUUUUAUUAGAGAAACUAAUAAUAAGAAUUAUUAAUACUCUUUAAGCAACGACCUACACAAUGACCCUGCAUCUUCCUUAGCGAUUUGUACAUAAUAAGCUAUAAAUGUCUGCUCCUCAACACACUCUUAGGAGGGAAUUAAUAAAUUAAUAAAUUUUAAUAAUACCUAAAAUUUCUAAUGGGUGUAGUUAGUAUAUUAAAGGCUGUCAAGCCUCAAAGAUCCCUACUCCUUUAUGUCUCUGAACACACUCUGAUAUAAUACAAGGAUCGGUUCCUAAGAUUUUAAGUCUCCAAUGGAGUAUCUGGGUGGAAAAUCGUGUUUAAUAAUUAAAGUCUACGGAUGUAGAAAUGGCUCUGAGGUUAACCUCACUUGUUGCUUGUGUAGAGGACCCAGAUUCAAUUACCAGCACCCACGUGGUGGCUCACAAGCAUCUGUGAUUCCAGCUCCAGGGAAUCUAGUGCGCUAUUCCAGAAGUCUCAGGCACUGGUCAUGAAAAUGGUGCACAUACACACAUGUACACAAAACACUCACUUGUAUGAAAUAAACAUUUUAAAGGUUUAAUAUUGAAAUAGAGGACAAGAAUAAUAGUAUUUCACAUUAUACCUGAAAUUGCAGAGUUUUAAAAUAUAUUUCUUAAAGAUUGUAUGACAAACACUUAAUGCAUACAUGCGUUCAUUUGAACUCAGACAACUUAGGUGAGCACGUUUUUGUCAGGCCGUAGGCUGUGCAUUAGAAAUGGAUAAAUAUUAUUUGUUCUUCUUUUAAGGCAUGUUCCUUUUAUUUUCCAUUGGGCAGAGAAACAGUGAGCAGUGUGUGACACACGAGACGGUGUCCUGUAGGUGUGAGCAGUGUGUGACACACUAGACGGUGUCCUGUAGGUGUGAGUCAGCAGUGUGUGACACACAGAGACAGCGUCCUGUAGGUGUGAGCAGUGUGUGACACACAGAGACAGCAUCCUGUAGGUGUGAGCAGUGCGUGACACACGAGACAGAGUCCUGUAGAUGUGAGUGAGCAGUGUGUGACACACAGAGACGGCGUCCUGUAGGUGUGAGCAGUGUGUGACACACAGAGACGGCGUCCUGUAGGUGUGAGCAGUGUGUGACACACAGAGACGGCGUCCUGCAGAUGUGAGUGAGGGUAUUGGUGGAGGUCAGAUGAGAGCUGACGACGUGAACUGACACCGUGAUCUGUGGAAGUUUUAAAUAAAGAGAUGACACCCAGGAGAAAUAUUUCGCUUUCCUAAAUGUCACAAUACAAUCCAACUACACAGUGUGACAGGGAGUAGGACCCAGUGGCUCGGAGGCUGUGAGAGGAACAGGAACACGUUUGCAGGAAGGUUCUGGGCAGAACUGGGAAGCUUUGGGCAGAGUGGGAUGGGGGUAAAGGUGAAGUUUGCUUUUCCUUCCCAAAGAGUCAGGUUUCUGUUCUCAUGAGUGAAACUGACAAAUGGUUUUAAACAUGGAGGGACGGUUGGGGAUAUUUUUCAGAAAAUCGUCGGGACUGAAAUUCCUUUAACGUGGACCCACUCCCCGCUCUUUGUUUUCUUAGUUAAAAUUAUUAACAGUUUGCCAUUUUUUAGCAUUUCAAAUUUUAAGACACAAAGGGGAAGUGAAGUCAGAGACAUCAUGCAAUAAAGGUCUUUUAUUUAAAAGUAUCGAAAUGACUUGGUCACUUGGUCGGCUUGUUGGGGUAAAGGCAGACUGUAAGGCUUAGUUCUUACACGGUAGACAGUAAGUGGUCACCAGCUGUAUACAACUUAUUGAAGGCUUUAGGGCAUGGCAUAAAUUUCCCACAGAACAGGACGGGUUCAAAAGGAGGCCCUUAUAAGAUCAGUUCGAGACAGGGGCAGGCAGAAGAGCAGCCACAGAUUAGGGCCGAAGCAAUGACGUGACAUGAGUCUCUGGAAAGUGAUCCGCUGGCAGUGUUGUGGGCUACACGGAGGGCGUGCAGAACGUGGGCCAGGGAAACGUGUGUUAUCACGUCAGAGUUGGGAAGCCAGGGUGCAUCGAGUUAUCAGAUGAUGGGUGAGUUAUCAGAGGCGGCAGAGGGUGGCUCCUCAUUGCUAAAGGAUGGAAGAGAGGCUGAGUCAGGCUUUGGCCCUGGCAGAAGCAGGUGCAAAGGAACUUCGAGCCCUUAUGCUCGUAUUUGAGCUAAAAAGGCCAGCUGCGCCCUAGCUCUGCAGACACUAACCAGAGCAGGGAAGAACAUCAGAACAUCGGCAACCUGGGGGCUGCUGGUCCUGAGCUAAGAGCAGCAGAGACCUGGUCUCUUCCCACAAAGGAGCAGCUAGGAGUGGAACGGGAAGUGAGGCAGCUUUCCAAGGCUGGAAAGGGGGAACUAGGUCGGAAAUAAGAUGGCUACCGUUUCAGAAAAUAAGGCUGCACUUGGUAGGUGGAGGAGCUUCCGGUGCUCUGGAGUUCUGUCAGGAAAUAGAGUUGACAAUGAAUCUGACAGCUUCAAAACACAUAGUAGGGAUGAUGUGGAAUAUUCCCAGCAUUGAAUCACAUACAUGUCUGAGGUGACACCUACGCCAGAUAUCACAGUGUGUAUCCUUUGAACUUCCACAGUAUGCUCCAGAAAUAUGUACACUUAUUAUAUGGCCAUAAGGUUUUUGAAAAGAAGAGAAAUUCCUCUCUACAUCUUCCACAGAGAAUGAGAUGAGUCAGCAGCCCUAGCCUGGCAGAGGCGUCCUGGUCUUAGGUGUUAGACGCAGGACUAAAGGGUGGUAUUUACUCAGCAGCCACAGUUCUUACGAGGACCUUCGGACAACAUCAGUUUUCCCAAAGACCACUGCAGGAAUGGCCAGCGCAAAGGGCACCGGGAAAGGCAACUUUUGGCAUAUUUCCCAGUUCCUCCAGUACCUCAGCAAACAGGGAAAAGGGGUCGACGGAAAUCAUAUCUCACAGGCCUGCUUUUAGGAUGCGCUCACCUUGCUGAUUUGCAACAUGAGUUUCUUUUGCUGUGGAAACCAACAGUCGUGCUGGUCUGUGCUUUGGGGUUAAGCCCUUAUGUGUAAGGUGACCCUCUGCUGGCCUGGCGUAUGACGUCUGCAGACAGACAGCUGGCUGUGCUUCUGUGAAAAAUAAUACUAAAACAUGAUACAGAGGGACAGAUACUUCACCAUGAGAGUGUAAAUGGCUGGAGGAGUAUCAUCUGAAGAGUCUCAGCAAGCUGGGAAAUAUGAAAAUGUGUUCUGCCAGUGUGAUGUGUAUGAUAUAGAGGUGUUAUCAGUUGGUACUGUGUUAUGUAUAAUAUAGAAGCGUUAUCACCAGUCGGUACUGUGAAACACCCGGGGCACCUCAGCAAUAUCACAGAGUGAAGCAUCCACUGUGGAGAAAGGAUAUGUAUUUCUGUGUCUGCUAUAGACUUUUUUUUUUUUACAUUUGCGUUAAUCUUCUGAACAUUUUAAUUCAAGUCCUCGUGCCACUGACAAAACAUGGAAACGUAAUUUAAAAUGAGACCAGAGCUAGUUGAUCUCUGGGAGAAUCCGCAUGUCUCCCUGAUCUGAGUUUAGACUGGGCUUCUACAGAUUGUUAGCAGUUACGUACACUUCAGGCCUGCUGAGGUGGUAGGUAAAAGACGGCUUAAAAUGGGCGGGAUUCUGCACACCACGGCCGACUCGGUAAUGAAAACAAGGAUGAUGGGCUGUAAGUGUGUAAAUGUUUUGCGGAGUUUUUAUUUAUAGAAUACCAAACUGAACUCUAGUCUUUCU
Long non-coding RNA from Alexandromys fortis (reed vole), 4160 nucleotides. RefSeq lists it as uncharacterized. The record is from RefSeq and is a predicted model, not a curated record. The transcript is spliced from 3 exons. Lineage: Eukaryota; Metazoa; Chordata; Mammalia; Rodentia; Cricetidae.